CCUGGCUCAGGACGAACGCUGGCGGCAUGCCUAACACAUGCAAGUAGAACGAUGAAGGAGGAGCUUGCUUCUCUGGAUGAGUUGCGAACGGGUGAGUAACGCGUCGGUAACCUGCCUGGUAGCGGGGGAGAACUAUUGGAAACGAUAUCUAAUACCGCAUAAGAGUAGAUGUUGCAUGACAUUUACUUAAAAGGUGCAAUUGCAUCACUACCAGAUGGACCUGCGUUGUAUUAGCUAGUUGGUGAGGUAACGGCACACCAAGGCAACGAUACAUAGCCGACCUGAGAGGGUGAUCGGCCACACUGGGACUGAGACACGGCCCAGACUCCUACGG
This 334-nucleotide ribosomal RNA is filed under the name uncultured bacterium. Its description in RNAcentral is "bacterial SSU rRNA". It matches the Rfam family "Bacterial small subunit ribosomal RNA", at positions 18 to 344 of the family's 1533-position model. The record is from RNAcentral.